CUAUCACUAAAGGGAACGCUCCUUUACGAAACCUCUGUACGCCGAAGGUGGGUUUGUUGGGGCGGAGCAAUGAGGAUUUAAAGGCCCUGAAUAACGAGGAGAUAAGACGGUGCUCCCAGACUGGCGACCUGUCCAGGGUGUACCCUGCCUCUGCCCCGAAGACUGUUGGACAUAGGCACCAAAUCCUCUGCAAGGAUAAGCAGGUAUAGAAGAUGGGUUUAAGUUUUUUAAUGGGUCCAGUAUGCAUAUCUGGUUUCUGUAAACCUUUGACUUUAUUCCUUAGGAUAACCAGCUCUUUGGACAGGUUUAUUAUUCCUAAAUACUUGAUCAAAGUAAAUAAUAGCAAGCAAAUCAUGUUUAAGUUGGCACAGAGAAGUUACCAACUGCAGGAUAUGACAAUAACUCUUUACAGUGCAAACAAAGCCAAUUUCCCAAGUUAGUUCAUGUUUAAUGUGUUAGGUGUGAAACACAAUGUUCACUGUUAAGUAUAAGAAAGGACUGUCAUGCUGCAGGCCUGCUUUUCCUCCAAAGCCCUGGGAACCUCAUUAGACUACAGGGGAUCAUAGGCGCUAUGAAACACCAGAUUUAACAUAAGUCUUUUCUGCCAGAAAACACAAAAUAGGUCACCAUAUGGCUUUUCAGCAGGAUAGGGAUCCAAAACAUAGGGUUAAAAAACCCAGAAGGACCCAAAAAUAUAUCUUCUUCCCUAACCAUCCUAGUCCCCAGGCCUAAAUUUGGCAGAAAACCUUUGGGUGAGCUUAGGAAUAGGGGACCCAGAAGAACAAUAAUGAAAGAUUUCUCCCUCUAUAUGCACCAACCUUGUAAAAUGUUCAAAUAAAAGACUAAAGGGCUGUCCUACUGGCAAAAGGGGUGGAUUUACUUUUCUUAAACUUUAUUUAUUAAUACACAUUCACUGAAGAAAAGAAAUACAAAAUAUUUCAUCCAAGACAGACCUAAGACUAAAUUGUCAGGACUUCUUUAGUUACAUGACAGACUUUGCGCUGAAACAGAAGUAGGAAAAAUACAGUAAACUUGCAAUGUAUACCUAAAUAGAAAAAGUCAAUUUCUCUGACUUAGAGCAAUGUGGGCUUUUUUUCUGUUUUAUCCAGAAAACCACAGUUUUAUAAUCACAUUCAGAAUGAUUAAAGCAAAAGGCCUCUAAUGAGGUCCUACGUAUAAUUAAGCUGUCCAGUAAUUAACGACGUACAAAAGAUUUCAACUCUAAGUACGCACAGUAACAAAAAAAAAAAAAAAAGAAUGUGCUGCAAAUAAACUGAUGAAACUCCACAAAAAGUGUAAUUAUUUGCUUAUUAAAA
This is a long non-coding RNA of Girardinichthys multiradiatus, 1316 nucleotides long. RefSeq lists it as uncharacterized. The transcript has 2 exons. The record is from RefSeq and is a predicted model, not a curated record. NCBI's taxonomy places the organism in Eukaryota, Metazoa, Chordata, Actinopteri, Cyprinodontiformes, Goodeidae.